Molecule: long non-coding RNA, 931 nt
Filed under: Lactuca sativa (garden lettuce)
Lineage: Eukaryota; Viridiplantae; Streptophyta; Magnoliopsida; Asterales; Asteraceae
Description: long non-coding RNA (LSAT_LNC009830)
Source: RNAcentral
CCAAAUAGAAUCAUACCGGAAAACUUUUUUGUUCGUUACAAGGAAAUAAGAAAUGCAAGAAAAUCAAAUCUAACAAACUUGAGUCGAACCAAAUACAAAAUAAAUACCAUUAGUUCAUGAACAUGGAAACCAAAAAAAAGUUCUUUCAGACAUGAAUCAAAGCAAAUCUAAAUCAAAUUUAGCUCCCGGAUCUCUGGAAAUCCAAAAUAAUUAAAGAACCACUUUAUCGUCUACAACAACAUUGCAAAAGAUCUCUAAAAAGCUUCAAAAUCGAAUCCAAAUCAGUUGCCAAAAGACCUUCAAACUUUUCACUUCGAAACCGAUUUCUUCCUUCAAAAAUGAAUCCUUCAGAUGCCAAAAACCCAUCAUAUUUGCAUUUUGAUUUCUUGUUCCACCGUAACCAUAUAUAGAACUUUUCACCUUCAAAAUCCCACAAUGAAACUCUUAUUAAGAAUAAAUAUGAACUUGAAAUAUUUAAGCUACAUAGAAACCCAAGACGAAGAAGGAUUCAAGACAAUGGAUUUGUAAAUAAUCAAAUACCCCAAAUCAACCUUCUUCAAAACUCUAUUCGUUAGGUUCUUAGACGUUGGAAAUAUUCAAGUCAUCGUGGUUUGACAGAAGAGAGUGAUGGAGGUCUCACUAGGUUUCCAUGGAAGAUUACAUCUUCUGUAUAUCGAGCUUUACAUGUGAGAGACAUGAAUUUCUAUUUUUUUUUAGGUGUUAGAAGAUUGGUGGAGACAAAGAGACGAAGGAGAUGAAGGGUUGCCGACGAUGGUGGAUUUUUCCGGCAAGCAUAGGUAUAGAAGAGAUGCGGCUGUUCUUUUAGAGAUCCAUGAAGAAAAGGUAAAAUGGAUGAAGAAAUGAUACAAAGGUUUGAUACAAUACAUCUUGUGGAGGGGUGAGAUGGUGGGACCAUCUAUAUAUUAAACAA